RNAcentral lists this ribosomal RNA (1329 nucleotides) under metagenome. Its description in RNAcentral is "bacterial LSU rRNA". It matches the Rfam family "Bacterial large subunit ribosomal RNA", at positions 1603 to 2925 of the family's 2925-position model. The record is from RNAcentral.
AGGUUCCAGGAAAAGCCACUAAGCUUCAGCUACACACGACCGUACCGCAAACCGACACUGGUGCGCGAGAUGAGUAUUCUAAGGCGCUUGAGAGAACUCAGGAGAAGGAACUCGGCAAAUUGACACCGUAACUUCGGAAGAAGGUGUGCCCUAGUAGUGUGAAGUGAACAACGGAGCAUGAAUGGGUUGCAAAAAAUCGGUGGCUGCGACUGUUUAUUAAAAACACAGCACUCUGCAAACACGAAAGUGGACGUAUAGGGUGUGACGCCUGCCCGGUGCUGGAAGAUUAAAUGAUGGGGUGCAAGCUCUUGAUUGAAGUCCCAGUAAACGGCGGCCGUAACUAUAACGGUCCUAAGGUAGCGAAAUUCCUUGUCGGGUAAGUUCCGACCUGCACGAAUGGCGUAACGAUGGCCACACUGUCUCCUCCUGAGACUCAGCGAAGUUGAAAUGUUUGUGAUGAUGCAAUCUCCCCGCGGAAAGACGGAAAGACCCCAUGAACCUUUACUGUAGCUUUGUAUUGGACUUUGAACAGAUCUGUGUAGGAUAGGUGGGAGGCUUUGAAGCAGGGUCGCUAGAUCUUGUGGAGCCAACGUUGAAUACCACCCUGGUGUGUUUGAGGUUCUAACCUAGGUCCAUUAUCUGGAUCGGGGACAGUGCAUGGUAGGCAGUUUGACUGGGGCGGUCUCCUCCCAAAGCGUAACGGAGGAGUUCGAAGGUACGCUAGUUACGGUCGGACAUCGUGACGAUAGUGCAAUGGCAUAAGCGUGCUUAACUGCGAGACUGACAAGUCGAGCAGAUGCGAAAGCAGGACAUAGUGAUCCGGUGGUUCUGUAUGGAAGGGCCAUCGCUCAACGGAUAAAAGGUACUCUGGGGAUAACAGGCUGAUACCGCCCAAGAGUUCAUAUCGACGGCGGUGUUUGGCACCUCGAUGUCGGCUCAUCUCAUCCUGGGGCUGUAGCCGGUCCCAAGGGUAUGGCUGUUCGCCAUUUAAAGAGGUACGUGAGCUGGGUUUAAAACGUCGUGAGACAGUUUGGUCCCUAUCUUCCGUGGGCGCUGCAGAUUUGAGGAAGCCUGCUCCUAGUACGAGAGGACCGGAGUGGACACACCUCUGGUGUAUCGGUUGUCACGCCAGUGGCAUUGCCGAGUAGCUAAGUGUGGAAGAGAUAACCGCUGAAAGCAUCUAAGCGGGAAACUCGUUUCAAGAUGAGAUCUGCCGGGGCCUUGAGCCCCCUGAAGAGUCGUUCAAGACCAGGACGUUGAUAGGUCAGGUGUGGAAGCGCAGUAAUGCGUUAAGCUAACUGAUACUAAUUGCUCGUGCGGCUUGACCCC